This is a non-coding RNA of Elusimicrobia bacterium RBG_16_66_12, 115 nucleotides long. NCBI's taxonomy places the organism in Bacteria, Pseudomonadati, Elusimicrobiota. The record is from Rfam.
GAACUUUUUCGGGGGGGGCGCGUAUCGGUAUGUUUCAAACCACCUUAAGCUGCGUCGGGACAAUGCCCGGUGUGGUGAGCGUUAAGGCAAAAGGCACGACUUGAUCGUGUCAGGU